UGCCACCACACCUGGCUAAUUUUUGAAUUUUUUGUAGAAAUGGGGUUUCACCAUGUCGGUCAGGCUGGUCUUGAACUCCUGACCUCAAGUAGUCCACCUGCCUCGGCCUCCCAAAGUGCUGGGAUUACAGGCAUGAGCCACUGCGCCUGGCCUAUUGGUUGGAAUUAUGUUGUAAAGAAGUGCUUUUGUUUCUCCCCCAUUUGCUUAUUAUCACUGUGGAUAUUUGGGUUUGCAUUUUAUUCAGUGAGUUAUAAUCUGUUACUGUCCUUAUGGAUUCCGGUGCUCUAGAGCUCUCGUCCCAGAUUUGGCUACUGAGAGCUCCUUCA
This 326-nucleotide long non-coding RNA is filed under the name Pan troglodytes (chimpanzee). RNAcentral's name for it is "long non-coding RNA NONPTRT006704". Lineage: Eukaryota; Metazoa; Chordata; Mammalia; Primates; Hominidae. The record is from RNAcentral.